RNAcentral lists this ribosomal RNA (253 nucleotides) under uncultured bacterium. RNAcentral describes it as "partial 16S ribosomal RNA". It matches the Rfam family "Bacterial small subunit ribosomal RNA", at positions 524 to 776 of the family's 1533-position model. The record is from RNAcentral.
UACGUAGGUGGCAAGCGUUGUCCGGAAUUACUGGGCGUAAAGAGCGCGCAGGCGGCUGGUCAAGUCCGAUGUGAAAGCUUCCGGCUUAACUGGGAAAUUGCAUCGGAAACUGAUCGGCUUGAAGGUGGGAGAGGGUAGUGGAAUUCCCGGUGUAGUGGUGAAAUGCGUAGAUAUCGAGAGGAACACCAGUGGCGAAGGCGACUACCUGGCCCACUCUUGACGCUGAGGCGCGAAAGCUAGGGGAGCGAACGGG